Molecule: long non-coding RNA, 1007 nt
Filed under: Catharus ustulatus (Swainson's thrush)
Lineage: Eukaryota; Metazoa; Chordata; Aves; Passeriformes; Turdidae
Description: lncRNA (ENSCUSG00005017213.1)
Source: RNAcentral
GAAGGAUUGGUUGUGAAAAGAUAAACAAUACCCCUCCUGGUUUCAAUGGAUGACCCAUUAGCAGAAUAUCUCCCACUUAGCUAAAGAUCACUGCCCCCACCCUCAAGAGAUGGUGAUAGAAUAGAUACCUUUUAUCACACUCUGUGUUGUAACCCAAGACAGUUGCCGACACGUGGACGUGCAGUUUAUAAUCAGAAAGAGUACUGUCGCCAAAGAUGAGAAGAAGAAAAACGUCCAGCAGAUAAUCCAAAAGAGGAGUUGCUUUCAGCUAAAGGAUGUACAGAAGAGGAAAAGCCUAUAAAAAGAAAUGUUCCUUACCAUAUUCCCUCACAUAUGAAGAUUCAUCCCGGGUUUUGAAGUAAUUGCUACAAGUUAUCUAUGUUUCAACAGCUUUAUUAAGGAGAAAGUCGGUUUGCCUGCUUGGAAAUUCAAGAUCAGUGUUCACAAGGAAAUAUCUAUAUUAAACUCCCACUUACUAAUUUGCCUUUAAAUGUCAGACUAAAAAAAAAGAGACAUCUGCUUUUUUAUGAUUCUCUCUCCUUUAAGUAAUUCUGCUCAUGAACUGCCACAUUAAAUAAAGCUACUUAAAGUCCUUGUAAGAGUGGGGAUGGUUUAGGAUGUCACCACAUUGAUGCAUAUGUGCCAUGUCUUCAGAAUUAAGAAGUACAGAAGGUAAACAUUGACCUUCAAUAUGUUCACUUUAGUUUUUGCCUUUUCCUGCAUUCCUACUGCUGCAAGCAGUAGCAAAGGCUAAAGGAAAUGGCCUCUGACUAAGCAUUAGCUACCAGCGUGCCCUCAUUAUAGCUGAGGGCUCUUAUUCUCGCCUAGCCUACGUGCAGAGCCAGCUACUCUUUCAGCUGUGAUGACGAAAUGCCAUGCAUUUCUUCCUGGAAUAGUGCGCAGAUAAGAGGCCACUUGUUAUGCUGAGGUUUCAGAUGAACUCCACUAAGGGUUUCAAAACACUCUGUCACAAUUAUAUCAGGUUUCUUUAGCAACCAAUUCAUUUC